This is a long non-coding RNA of Sinocyclocheilus anshuiensis, 783 nucleotides long. RefSeq lists it as uncharacterized. The transcript is spliced from 3 exons. Lineage: Eukaryota; Metazoa; Chordata; Actinopteri; Cypriniformes; Cyprinidae. The record is from RefSeq and is a predicted model, not a curated record.
AAUAAAACAUUUGGUUUUCAAUCCAGUGAGAAUUAACCUUUGAGACUUGCAAAACAUCUAUUUGCGAGCCAAGAGCAUGAAGAUUGCACUUUUUUUUGGUCCUGAAACCUACUCUGUGAUUUUUAUUUCUGGCACGACACAACACUCGUUUCAUAAUCGCCAUGUUUUGGCGUAAAAAGCGCCGAUUUUGAUUACACUGCAGCAUUGUAUAAUGAGCCGCUCCAGUCUGCUGACUCUAGCAAGGGGGGCACCAGCGGUCUGGCAUUCGCACAAACUCUCCUCCCUCCUUCAGCCUCACUGUGAGCCGGAGAACGGCUCGAUCCAAAAAUACAAGCAAGCUGAAACAGGAGGGCGAUCUAAAAGGGAGACUUUCAGGUACAAACAGUCACAAGCUAUGGCAACUCCACAUGCUUCCAGCAUGAGUCACUUCCCCAAACAAAAGCCCCUUCACUAGGGGUGGUGUGACAGGCCCCCAAAGGCUAGGAGUCGCCUGGAUACCAAACAAAAACAGGGAUCAGUGAUGGGAUCACGUGGUGCCGCAACUCAGGUUUCACAACAAACAGAUGCUACGCAGUAACAGCUGAUCCUUUCCACUAACUUAUCUCUCAGAUUCGAUGGGAUAAGAUCAAUCCUCAUCAUUUCGCUCAUCUAAGAAGCUAAUUUGGAAAGAGGCUGAUGGAAGUAUGCAGACAGGAUGUCUCAAAGACAGGGAGACAAGAUUCAUUAGGUCAUACCUGAGAAGGACAUCAAGGCUUUGGGGAGCUUUUAUGAGACACACUGGAG